This is a long non-coding RNA of Stylophora pistillata, 998 nucleotides long. RefSeq lists it as uncharacterized. The record is from RefSeq and is a predicted model, not a curated record. NCBI's taxonomy places the organism in Eukaryota, Metazoa, Cnidaria, Anthozoa, Scleractinia, Pocilloporidae.
GUAAUCCACUGUAAUCUCUGCGCAUUCGAAAUUAUGGAAAUUUUGUAGAUACUUCUACACGCGGAAAAUAAUGGCAACAUAUGAAACCAAAUCGAGUUGAUUAUCUCAAGAAGAGCAAAAUUUUCGAUGUUGGAGAUCGGGGCGUAAAAAAGAAGCCCAUCUGGUGAUCCACAAAUUACGCUGCUGGAAAAGCAUGGAAAACACGCGUCCUGUUGUUAAGGACAUUUAGCAGUAAAGACACAACGUUGGAUUGUAAUAUCCUGCCCGCCUCCAAAGAACAGAAGACCAAGAUCCAACAAAGGGAUUGGUGCGAAAUAAGUCUAAAAAUCAUGUUUUAAAUGAUGCAUACUUCGAACAGCGCAAAUUCACACACUCUCGAAAAGACUGGAAUAAAUUGCCAAGACUUGAUUAUAUCAGCUUUAUUAACUUUGUCCAUCAUUAAACGUUAACAAUGACGAGGAAUGAAAAUGCUUUCCCAUUGGUACAUAUGUGAAAAUGGUGCAAAUCGGUUGCGAAGAUUUCAAAUUAUAUUUAUUUGUUCCUUUUUAUGGAAUUUCCUUAGACCUUUUGGUACCAAUUAAGCGCUUAACAUAACAUUUUUGUGGAAAAUACCUGAAUUUUCUUUUUUUAGUUUUGUCUAGUCAUUGUAAAUUAUAGCUUACGCAAAUUGAUUAUUGUCGACACUUGGGUUCCACAUCGAGAUUGACCCAAUCAUAAAUAAAAAUUUUACAGAAUGAACUAUGUUCCAGUGUCUCAAGCUUGACUUUCAACUACGAUUCAUAAGUGCACAAUGAUAGGCCUUUGUCAACUGUACAUACGUUGGAAACCAUUAUAGCGAAGAUUUACUUCGCAAAUUCCUCUCGACCUUUCUGUGUUAUUUACAGUACCUGUGAGACGAUAAAGACAAUAUUAAUCAGACGUGUAGCAGUAGAGAUAUUCAAACUCAAAGCAUCAUUUCUCGUGGCUUUGGUCAAAUAAACGUUAACCUACUUAUCAGA